AUGAUAACACCACAACUGCAUUUUCAACACAACAGUAUUAGAAGGCUUCAUCCACGCGCUCUUUGAUACACCCAUGGGACAGGAGACAGAGUUUACUGUGGUGAGCCUGGAAUUAUGUGCAUGCUGAUUGACAUGCUAGUGUGCAAGUAUCGCUUGUCCCACCAGCUGCUGCUGCAGGAAUGGCUCUACCCACUUUCUUUCCUGUACCUGACUGCCUGUAAGAGCUAGCAGAACUUCACACAUUCUUUUCUUCUUUCACAUUUGGCUCAAUUUUACAAACCAGUCAAAAAAAGCUACAGGAGAGAUACCCACAAAUGGAAUGAUAAUGGAGGAAUGUGGUUUGUAUUGCUGAAGCCUGGGAAGAUGCAUGAUGGCUGGAAUGUGAUAAGUCACUGGAUUCAUUUUUUUCAGCAUAGCUAGAGCAGGAAAAAGUGGAAACCAUAUUUGACAGAUACUGCUUUUCAAGUUUACUCAGUAUGUAGAAUAACAGGAUUAGCUGAAUUCUAAUAUUCAAGUAAAGCUGAUAAACUUAUAAGUAGAAAACUCUUAGACUCUGUUACUGAUAACACAUUGGAAAAGUAGAGCAAAAGACGCAUGCUUAAGUUUUAUUUGUCUUAUGCCUUCACCAUUCUCAAUAUCCCCUACUUCACCCAAAAGAACAUUUCUAAUAAAGAUUUGAUUGAACACAAUAGCCCCAGUGCAAGACAGAUUGUCCAGCACUGACAUCUUGUUCAGUGGAAAAUUAAAACAAUUGUACUUGAACUGAAAUGUAAGCUGUUAGAAAAUGAUUUUGGUGUCAUUGAAGAAGUGUAGAUGCUACAAACACAGUCAACUAAAAAAGCCAGGUAUGACUGGGGAGCUUUGGGAAUUGCAAAUAGUUCAUGAGAAGGUUACUGUUUACCUGACAGAGACUGUAGAAUACAGCUUUAUACCAAGAAAUAGGCAGUCUCCUAAAAUGCCAUAAGGAAGGUUACAUGCACUAAGUUGUCAAAAAUGUGUCAAAGAUAGUAGUCAUUCACAAAGAUGGCUGAGUUCUAGUAUAUGGCAGAGCUGUAACUAUGGCUUGACAAGGUCUGAUAACAGCAAUGUAGUUGGACUUUGAUGAUCCUCGUGGGUCCCGUCCAAAGAAAGGUAUUUUACGAUUCUGUGCAGAUGUCUUGGGAGAUUCUAAAGGUCCGUAUAACAGCAUAAGGAACUUGAGAAAUUGUUAUUAAAUAUAUGUGUGCUUGAAAGUCUGUACUAAUUUAGGUUUUGGUGUGUGUGUAUUUGUGUCCUGGCUGUGUGAAAAUUAUGUUGAAAACUACAUUUUAAAGAUU
Molecule: long non-coding RNA, 1316 nt
Filed under: Gallus gallus (chicken)
Lineage: Eukaryota; Metazoa; Chordata; Aves; Galliformes; Phasianidae
Description: lncRNA (ENSGALG00010005844.1)
Source: RNAcentral